AAAAAGUCAAACCAUGGGUUUCCGUGUCCAACACUGUCCGUCUUAUAUGAAAUUUUUUUAUAAUUCGUAUUUUUAUUGUUGUUAGAUGAUAAAACAUGAUUAAUAUUUUAUGCGUGACUUGUCUUUUUAUUUUUUUUCAUAAUUUUUUCAAAUAAGACAGACGGUGAAACAUUGGACACGGAAACUAGGGUUUGUCUUUUU
This is a non-coding RNA of Oryza glumipatula, 201 nucleotides long. The record is from Rfam. NCBI's taxonomy places the organism in Eukaryota, Viridiplantae, Streptophyta, Magnoliopsida, Poales, Poaceae.